UUGGCCAUUUUUCCGCUGGGGGGUCUUGGCACCCCGACCUUCGGGGGCUAAUUUUUGGGCGCGGCUGUGCCCGUGGCCUAUGUUUGGCACACGGAGGCCGCCCGCAAAGUCUGGGGCCAUUCCGAGUCCGGCGGACGAACUUCGCCCACGACCCCAACCAGGCUAUAGCCCACCCGUUUUUUGGCCAUUUUUCCGCUGGGGGGUCUUGGCGCCCCGACCUUCGGGGGCUAAUUUUUGGGCGCGGCUGUGUCCGUGGCCUAUUUUUGGCACACGGAGGCCGCCCGCAAAGUCUGGGGCCAUUCCGAGUCCGGCGGACGAACUUCGCCCACGCCCCCAACAAGGCUAUAGCCCACCCGUUUGUUGGCCAUUUUUCCGCUGGGGGGUCUUGGCAGCCCGACCUUCGGGGGCUAAUUUUUUGGCGCGGCUGUGCCCGUGGCCUAUUUUUGGCACACGGAGGCCGCCCGCAAAGUCUGGGGCCAUUCCGUGUCCGGCGGACAAACUUCGCCCACGCCCCCCGCCAAGGCUAUAGCCCACCCGUUUUUUGGCCAUUUUUCCGCUGGGGGGUCUAGGCUCCCCGACCUUCGGGGGCUAAUUUUUGGGCGCGGCUGUGCCCGUGGCCUAUUUUUGGCACACGGAGGCCGCCCGCAAAGUCUGGGUCCAUUCCGAGUCCGGCGGACGAACUUCGCCCACGCCCCCCGCCAAGGCUAUAGCCCACCCGUUUUUUGGCCAUUUUUCCGCUGGGGGGUCUUGGCAGCCCGACCUUCGGGGGCUAAUUUUUGGGCGCGGCUGUGCCCGUGGCCUAUUUUUGGCACACGGAGGCCGCCCGCAAAGUCUGGGGCCAUUCCGAGUCCGGCGGACGAAGUUCGCCCACGCCCCCAACAAGGCUAUAGCCCACCCGUUUGUUGGCCAUUUUUCCGCUGGGGGGUCUUGGCAGCCCGACCGUCGGGGGCUAAUUUUUGGGCGCGGCUGUGUCCGUGGGCUAUUUUUGGCACACGGAGGCCGCCCGCAAAGUCUGGGGCCAUUCCGAGUCCGGCGGACGAACUUCUCCCACGCCCCCAACAAGGCUAUAGCCCACCCGUUUUUUGGCCAUUUUUCCGCUGGGGGGUCUUGGCAGCCCGACCUUCGGGGGCUAAUUUUUGGGCGCGGCUGUGCCCGUGGCCUAUUUUUGGCACACGGAGGCCGCCCGCAAAGUCUGGGGCCAUUCCGAGUCCGGCGGACGAACUUCGCCCACGCCCCCCACCAAGGCUAUAGCCCACCCGUUUUUUGGCCAUUUUUCCGCUGGGGGGUCUUGGCAGCCCGACCUUCGGGGGCUAAUUUUUGGGCGCGGCUGUGCCCGUGGCCUAUUUUUGGCACACGGAGGCCGCCCGCAAAGUCUGGGGCCAUUCCGAGUCCGGCGGACGAACUUCGCCCACGCCCCCAACAAGGCUAUAACCCACUCGUUUUUUGGCCAUUUUUUCGCUGGGGGGGUCUUGGCCGGCCCGACCUUCGGGGGGCUAAUUUUUUGGGCGCGGCUGUGCCCGUGGCCUAUUUUUGGCAGACGGAGGCCGCCCGCAAAGUCUGGGGCCAUUUCGAGUCCGGCGGACGAACUUCGCCCACGCCCCCCGCCAAGGCUAUAGACCACCCGUUUUUUGGCCAUUUUUCCGAUGGGGGGUCUUGGCGCCCCGACCUUCGGGGGCUAAUUUUUGGGCGCGGCUGUGCCCGUGGCCUAUUUUUGGCACACUGAGGCCGCCCGCAAAGUCUGGGGCCAUUCCGAGUCCGGCGGACGAACUUCGCCCACGCCCCCCGCCAAGGCUAUAGCCCACCCGUUUUUUGGCCAUUUUUCCGCUGGGGGGUCUUGGCACCCCGACCUUCGGGGGCUAAUUUUUGGGCGCGGCUGUGCCCGUGGCCUAUUUUUGGCACACGGAGGCCGCCCGCAAAGUCUGGGGCCAUUCCGAGUCCGGCGGACGAACUUCGCCCACGCCCCCAACAAGGCUAUAGCCCACCCGUUUUUUGGCCAUUUUUCCGCUGGGGUGUCUUGGCGGCCCAACCUUCGGGGGCUAAUUUUUGGGCGCGGCUGUGCCCGUGGCCUAUUUUUGGCACACGGAGGCCGCCCGCAAAUUCUGGGGCCAUUCCGAGUCCGGCGGACGAACUUCGCCCACGCCCCCAACCAGGCUAUAGCCCACCCGUUUUUUGGCCAUUUAUCCGCGGGGGGGUCUUGGCGCCCCGACCUUGGGGGGUAAUUUUUGGGCGCGGCUGUGACCGUGGCUUAUUUUGGCACACGGAGGCCGCCCGCAAAGUCUGGGGCCAUUCCGAGUCCGGCGGACGAACUUCGCCCACGCCCCACGCCAAGGCUAUAGCCCACCCGUUUCUUGGCCAUUUUUCCGCUGGGGGGUCUUGGCAGCCCGACCUUCGGGAGCUAAUUUUUGGUCACGGCUGUGCCCGUGGCCUAUUUUUCGCACACGGAGGCCGCCCGCAAAGUCUGGGGCCAUUCCGAGUCCGGCGGACGAACUUCGCCCACGCCCCCCACCAAGGCUAUAGCCCACCCGUUUUUUGGCCAUUUUUCCGCUGGGGGGUCUUGGCGCCCCGACCUUCGGGGGCUAAUUUUUGGGCGCGGCUGUGCCCGUGGCCUAUUUUUGGCACACGGAGGCCGCCCGCAAAGUCUGGGGCCAUUCCGAGUCCGGCGGACGAACUUCGCCCACGCCCCCAACCAGGCUAUAGCCCACCCGUUUUUUGGCCAUUUUUCCGCUGGGGGGUCUUGGCGCCCCGACCUUCGGGGGCUAAUUUUUGGGCGCGGCUGUGACCGUGGCCUAUUUUUGGCACACGGAGGCCGCCCGCAAAGUCUGGGGCCAUUCCGAGUCCGGCGGACGAACUUCGCCCACGCCCCCAACGAGGCUAUAGCCCACCCGUUUUUUGGCCAUUUUUCCGCUGGGGGGUCUUGGCAGCCCGACCUUCGGGGGCUAAUUUUUUGGCGCGGCUGUGCCCGUGGCGUAUUUUUGGCACAAGGAGGCCGCCCGCAAAGUCUGGGGCCAUUCCGAUUCCGGCGAGCGAACUUCGCCCACGCCCCCAACAAGGCUAUAGCCCACCCGUUUUUUGGCCAUUUUUCCGCUGGGGUGUCUUGGCGGCCCAACCUUCGGGGGCUAAUUUUUGGGCGCGGCUGUGCCCGUGGCCUAUUUUUGGCACACGGAGGCCGCCCGCAAAUUCUGGGGCCAUUCCGAGUCCGGCGGACGAACUUCGCCCACGCCCCCAACCAGGCUAUAGCCCACCCGUUUUUUGGCCAUUUUUCCGCUGGGGGGUCUUGGCGCCCCGACCUUCGGGGGCUAAUUUUUGGGCACGGCUGUGACCGUGGCCUAUUUUUGGCACACGGAGGCCGCCCGCAAAGUCUGGGGCCAUUCCGAGUCCGGCGGACGAACUUCGCCCACGCCCCCCGCCAAGGCUAUAGCCCACCCGUUUUUUGGCCAUUUUUCCGCGUGGGGGGUCUGGGCACCCCGACCUUCGGGGGCUAAUUUUUGGCCACGGCUGUGCCCGUGGCCUAUUUUUGGCACACGGAGUCCGCCCGCAAAGUUAGGGACCAUUCCGAGUCGGGCGGAGGAGCUUCCCUCACCCCCCCAACAAGGCUAUAGACCACCCGUAUUUUGACCAUUUUUCAGCUGGGGGGUCUUGGCCCCCCCGACCUUCGGGAGUUAAUUUUUGGGCGCGGCUGUGCCCGUGGCAUAUUUUUGGCACACGGAGGCCGUCCGCAAAGUCUGGGGCCAUUCCGAGUCCGGCGGACGAACUUCGCCCACGCCCCCCACCAAGGCUAUAGCCCACCCGUUUUUUGGCCAUUUUUCCGCUGAGGGUUCUUGGCGCCCCGACCUUCGGGGGCUAAUUUUUGGGCGCGGCUGUGCCCGUGGCCUAUUUUUGGCACACGGAGGCCGCCCGCAAAGUCUGGGGCCAUUCCGAGUCCGGCGGACGAACUUCGCCCACGCCCCCCGCCAAGGCUAUAGCCCACCCGUUUUUUGGCCAUUUUCCGCUGGGGGGUCUAGGCGCCCCGACCUUCGGGGGCUAAUUUUUGGGCGCGGCAGUGCCCGUGGCCUAUUUUUGGCACACGGAGGCCGCCCGCAAAGUCUGGGGCCAUUCCGAGUCCGGCGGACGAACUUCGCCCACGCCCCCCGCCAAGGCUAUAGCCCACCCGUUUUUUGGCCAUUUUUCCGCUGGGGGGUCUUGGCACCCCGACCUUCGGGGGCUAAUUUUUGGGCGCGGCUGUGCCCGUGGCCUAUUUUUGGCACACGGAGGCCGCCCGCAAAGUCUGGGGCCAUUCCGAGUCCGGCGGAUGAACUUCGCCCACGACCCCAACCAGGCUAUAGCCCACCCGUUUUUUGGCCAUUUUUCCGCUGGGGGGUCUUGGCGCCCCGACCUUCGGGGGCUAAUUUUUGGGCGCGGCAGUGCCCGUGGCCUAUUUUUGGCACACGGAGGCCGCCCGCAAAGUCUGGGGCCAUUCCGAGUCCGGCGGACGAACUUCGCCCACGCCCCCCGCCAAGGCUAUAGCCCACCCGUUUUUUGGCCAUUUUUCCGCUGGAGGGUCUUGGCGCCCCGACCUUUGGGGGCUAAUUUUUGGGCACGGCUGUGCCCGUGGCCUAUUUUUGGCACACGGAGGCCGCCCGCAAAGUCUGGGGCCAUUCCGAGUCCGGCGGACGAACUUCGCCCACGCCCCCAACAAGGCUAUAGCCCACCCGUUUUUUGGCCAUUUUUCCGCUCGGGUGUCUUGGCGGCCCAACCUUCGGGGGCUAAUUUUUGGGCGCGGCUGUGCCCGUGGCCUAUUUAUGGCACACGGAGGCCGCCCGCAAAGUCUGGGGCCAUUCCGAGUCCGGCGGACGAACUUCGCCCACGCCCCCAACCAGGCUAUAGCCCACCCGUUUUUUGGCCAUUUUUCUGCUGGGGGGUCUUGGCGCCCCGACCUUCGGGGGCUAAUUUUUGGGCGCGGCUGUGACCGUGGCCUAUUUUUGGCACACGGAGGCCGCCCGCAAAGUCUGGGGCCAUUCCGAGUCCGGCGGACGAACUUCGCCCACGCCCCACGCCAAGGCUAUAGCCCACCCGUUUUUUGGCCAUUUUUCCGCUGGGGGGUCUUGGCAGCCCGACCUUCGGGAGCUAAUUUUUGGUCACGGCUGUGCCCGUGGCCUAUUUUUCGCACACGGAGGCCGCCCGCAAAGUCUGGGGCCAUUCCGAGUCCGGCGGACGAACUUCGCCCACGCCCCCCACCAAGGCUAUAGCCCACCCGUUUUUUGGCCAUUUUUCCGCUGGGGGGUCUUGGCGCCCCGACCUUCGGGGGCUAAUUUUUGGGCGCGGCUGUGCCCGUGGCCUAUUUUUGGCACACGGAGGCCGCCCGCAAAGUCUGGGGCCAUUCCGAGUCCGGCGGAUGAACUUCGCCCACGACCCCAACCAGGCUAUAGCCCACCCGUUUUUUGGCCAUUUUUCCGCUGGGGGGUCUUGGCGCCCCGACCUUCGGGGGCUAAUUUUUGGGCGCGGCUGUGCCCGUGGCCUAUUUUUGGCACACGGAGGCCGCCCGCAAAGUCUGGGGCCAUUCCGAGUCCGGCGGACGAACUUCGCCCACGCCCCCAACAAGGCUAUAGCCCACCCGUUUGUUGGCCAUUUUUCCGCUGGGGGGUCUUGGCAGCCCGACCUUCGGGGGCUAAUUUUUUGGCGCGGCUGUGCCCGUGGCCUAUUUUUGGCACACGGAGGCCGCCCGCAAAGUCUGGGGCCAUUCCGUGUCCGGCGGACAAACUUCGCCCACGCCCCCCGCCAAGGCUAUAGCCCACCCGUUUUUUGGCCAUUUUUCCGCUGGGGGGUCUAGGCUCCCCGACCUUCGGGGGCUAAUUUUUGGGCGCGGCUGUGCCCGUGGCCUAUUUUUGGCACACGGAGGCCGCCCGCAAAGUCUGGGUCCAUUCCGAGUCCGGCGGACGAACUUCGCCCACGCCCCCCGCCAAGGCUAUAGCCCACCCGUUUUUUGGCCAUUUUUCCGCUGGGGGGUCUUGGCAGCCCGACCUUCGGGGGCUAAUUUUUGGGCGCGGCUGUGCCCGUGGCCUAUUUUUGGCACACGGAGGCCGCCCGCAAAGUCUGGGGCCAUUCCGAGUCCGGCGGACGAACUUCGCCCACGCCCCCAACAAGGCUAUAGCCCACCCGUUUUUUGGCCAUUUUUCCGCUGGGGUGUCUUGGCGGCCCAACCUUCGGGGGCUAAUUUUUGGGCGCGGCUGUGCCCGUGGCCUAUUUUUGGCACACGGAGGCCGCCCGCAAAUUCUGGGGCCAUUCCGAGUCCGGCGGACGAACUUCGCCCACGCCCCCAACCAGGCUAUAGCCCACCCGUUUUUUGGCCAUUUUUCCGCUGGGGGGUCUUGGCGCCCCGACCUUCGGGGGCUAAUUUUUGGGCGCGGCUGUGACCGUGGCCUAUUUUUGGCACACGGAGGCCGCCCGCAAAGUCUGGGGCCAUUCCGAGUCCGGCGGACGAACUUCGCCCACGCCCCACGCCAAGGCUAUAGCCCACCCGUUUUUUGGCCAUUUUUCCGCUGGGGGGUCUUGGCAGCCCGACCUUCGGGAGCUAAUUUUUGGUCACGGCUGUGCCCGUGGCCUAUUUUUCGCACACGGAGGCCGCCCGCAAAGUCUGGGGCCAUUCCGAGUCCGGCGGACGAACUUCGCCCACGCCCCCAACCAGGCUAUAGCCCACCCGUUUUUUGGCCAUUUUUCCGCUGGGGGGUCUUGGCGGCCCGACCUUCNNNNNNNNNNNNNNNNNNNNNNNNNNNNNNNNNNNNNNNNNNNNNNNNNNNNNNNNNNNNNNNNNNNNNNNNNNNNNNNNNNNNNNNNNNNNNNNNNNNNUCGCCCACGCCCCCCACCAAGGGUAUAGCCCACCCGUUUUUUGGCCAUUUUUCCGCUGGGGGGUCUUGGCGCCCCGACCUUCGGGGGCUAAUUUUUUGGCGCGGCAGUGCCCGUGGCCUAUUUUAGGCACACGGAGGCCGCCCGCAAAGUCUGGGGGCCAUUCCGAGUCCGGCGGACGAACUUCGCCCACGCCCCCCGCCAAGGCUAUAGCCCACCCGUUUUUUGGCCAUUUUUCCGCUGGGGGGUCUUGGCACCCCGACCUUCGGGGGCUAAUUUUUGGGCGCGGCUGUGCCCGUGGCCUAUUUUUGGCACACGGAGGCCGCCCGCAAAGUCUGGGGCCAUUCCGAGUCCGGCGGACGAACUUCGCCCACGACCCCAACCAGGCUAUAGCCCACCCGUUUUUUGGCCAUUUUUCCGCUGGGGGGUCUUGGCGCCCCGACCUUCGGAGGCUAAUUUUUGGGCGCGGCUGUGCCCGUGGCCUAUUUUUGGCACACGGAGGCCGCCCGCAAAGUCUGGGGCCAUUCCGAGUCCGGCGGACGAAC
This 7364-nucleotide long non-coding RNA is filed under the name Citrus x clementina. RNAcentral describes it as "Citrus clementina (C. clementina) long non-coding RNA (CCLE_LNC003765)". Lineage: Eukaryota; Viridiplantae; Streptophyta; Magnoliopsida; Sapindales; Rutaceae. The record is from RNAcentral.